UACAGAGGUCUCAAGCGUUGUUCGGAUUCAUUGGGCGUAAAGGGUGCGUAGGUGGCGGGGCAAGUUUGGUGUGAAAUCCCGGGGCUCAACCCCGGAACUGCACUGAAUACUGCCUUGCUUGAGCACUGGAGAGGAGAUUGGAAUUUACGGUGUAGCAGUGAAAUGCGUAGAUAUCGUAAGGAAGACCAGUGGCGAAGGCGAAUCUCUGGACAGUUACUGACACUGAGGCACGAAGGCCAGGGGAGCAAACGGG
This 253-nucleotide ribosomal RNA is filed under the name uncultured bacterium. Its description in RNAcentral is "partial 16S ribosomal RNA". It matches the Rfam family "Bacterial small subunit ribosomal RNA", at positions 524 to 776 of the family's 1533-position model. The record is from RNAcentral.